RNAcentral lists this non-coding RNA (100 nucleotides) under Clostridium magnum. RNAcentral's name for it is "Guanine sequence". It matches the Rfam family "Purine riboswitch aptamer". Rfam says of the family: Riboswitches are metabolite binding domains within certain messenger RNAs that serve as precision sensors for their corresponding targets. Allosteric rearrangement of mRNA structure is mediated by ligand binding, and this results in modulation of gene expression. RNAcentral also lists the same sequence under 1 other name. Lineage: Bacteria; Bacillati; Bacillota; Clostridia; Eubacteriales; Clostridiaceae. The record is from RNAcentral.
AUUAGAUAAAUAAUUUGACUUCGUAUAACUCUAACGAUAUGGGUUAGGGGUAUCUACCAGGGACCAAUAAUUCCUGAUUACGAAGAGAAUGCACCUAGGU